GGGGACUUGGCUUAGUUGGUAGAGCGCCUGCUUUGCACGCAGGAGGUCAGGAGUUCGACUCUCCUAGUCUCCACCA
RNAcentral lists this transfer RNA (76 nucleotides) under Acinetobacter baumannii. RNAcentral's name for it is "tRNA-Ala(tgc)". It matches the Rfam family "tRNA". From Rfam's summary of the family: Transfer RNA (tRNA) molecules are approximately 80 nucleotides in length. Their secondary structure includes four short double-helical elements and three loops (D, anti-codon, and T loops). Further hydrogen bonds mediate the characteristic L-shaped molecular structure. tRNAs have two regions of fundamental functional importance: the anti-codon, which is responsible for specific mRNA codon recognition, and the 3' end, to which the tRNAs corresponding amino acid is attached (by aminoacyl-tRNA synthetases). tRNAs cope with the degeneracy of the genetic code in two manners: having more than one tRNA (with a specific anti-codon) for a particular amino acid; and 'wobble' base-pairing, i.e. permitting non-standard base-pairing at the 3rd anti-codon position. RNAcentral also lists the same sequence under 1 other name. Lineage: Bacteria; Pseudomonadati; Pseudomonadota; Gammaproteobacteria; Moraxellales; Moraxellaceae. The record is from RNAcentral.